GCGUCCGUAGCUCAAUUGGAUAGAGCAUCGGUCUUCGGAACCGAUGGUUAGGGGUUCGAGUCCCUUCGGACGCA
This 74-nucleotide transfer RNA is filed under the name Planctomycetes bacterium RBG_13_60_9. RNAcentral's name for it is "tRNA-Arg". It matches the Rfam family "tRNA". Rfam says of the family: Transfer RNA (tRNA) molecules are approximately 80 nucleotides in length. Their secondary structure includes four short double-helical elements and three loops (D, anti-codon, and T loops). Further hydrogen bonds mediate the characteristic L-shaped molecular structure. tRNAs have two regions of fundamental functional importance: the anti-codon, which is responsible for specific mRNA codon recognition, and the 3' end, to which the tRNAs corresponding amino acid is attached (by aminoacyl-tRNA synthetases). tRNAs cope with the degeneracy of the genetic code in two manners: having more than one tRNA (with a specific anti-codon) for a particular amino acid; and 'wobble' base-pairing, i.e. permitting non-standard base-pairing at the 3rd anti-codon position. Lineage: Bacteria; Pseudomonadati; Planctomycetota. The record is from RNAcentral.